UACAUGGGGUGCAAACGUUGCUCGGAAUUAUUGGGCGUAAAGCGCGCGUAGGCGGUUACUCAAGUCGGAUGUGAAAGCCCUCGGCUUAACUGAGGAAGUGCACCCGAAACUGAGUAGCUAGAGUACCAAAGAGGGUCGCGGAAUUCCUGGUGUAGCGGUGAAAUGCGCAGAUAUCAGGAGGAACACCAAUGGCGAAGGCAGCACUCUGGGACGUGACUGACGCUGAGACGCGAAAGCGUGGGGAGCAAACAGG
Molecule: ribosomal RNA, 253 nt
Filed under: uncultured bacterium
Lineage: Bacteria
Description: partial 16S ribosomal RNA
Rfam family: Bacterial small subunit ribosomal RNA
Source: RNAcentral